UACGUAGGGGGCAAGCGUUGUCCGGAAUUAUUGGGCGUAAAGAGCUCGUAGGCGGUCUGUUGCGUCCGCUGUGAAAACUCGGGGCUUAACCCCGAGCCUGCAGUGGAUACGGGCAGACUUGAGUUCGGUAGGGGAGACUGGAAUUCCUGGUGUAGCGGUGAAAUGCGCAGAUAUCGGGAGGAACACCAGUGGCGAAGGCGGUUACCUGGAGCUUUGCUGACGCUGAUGCGCGAAAGCGUGGGGAGCGAUCAGG
This 253-nucleotide ribosomal RNA is filed under the name uncultured bacterium. RNAcentral describes it as "partial 16S ribosomal RNA". It matches the Rfam family "Bacterial small subunit ribosomal RNA", at positions 524 to 776 of the family's 1533-position model. The record is from RNAcentral.